AAUAUUGGUCGAUGGAGGCAACUCUGAACCAGCCAUGCCGCGUGCAGGAAGACGGCCCUACGGGUUGUAAACUGCUUUUAUACGGGAAUAAACCUCUCUACGUGUAGAGCGCUGAAUGUACUGUAAGAAUAAGGACAGGCUAACUCCGUGCCAGCAGCCGCGGUAAUACGGAGGAUCCAAGCGUUAUCCGGAUUUAUUGGGUUUAAAGGGUGCGUAGGCGGCCUAUUAAGUCAGGGGUGAAAGACGGUAGCUCAACUAUCGCAGUGCCUUUGAUACUGAUGGGCUUGAUUACACUUGAGGUAGGCGGAAUGUGACAAGUAGCGGUGAAAUGCAUAGAUAUGUCACAGAACACCGAUUGCGAAGGCAGCUUACUAAGGUGUCAAUGACGCUGAGGCACGAAAGCGUGGGGAUCAAACAGG
This 419-nucleotide ribosomal RNA is filed under the name uncultured bacterium. RNAcentral's name for it is "partial 16S ribosomal RNA". It matches the Rfam family "Bacterial small subunit ribosomal RNA", at positions 360 to 776 of the family's 1533-position model. The record is from RNAcentral.